UAGUAGUAAUGUUAAACAAAACUAAUUUAAAACGGCGGCAUUUAUUUUAUUUAGAGGAACUUGUCUAAUAAUCGAUAACCCACGAUAAAUUUCACUUAUAAAUAUAGCUUAUAUACCGCCAUCUAAAGAACUAAUCUAAUCAUAUUAUUCUUAAUAAAAAAUAAAAAGUUAGGUCAAGGUGUAGCCAAUAUAUAAGUCAAAAAUGAGUUACUAUAAUUCUAAUUUUAGGAUUAAAAAUCCAAAAAUUUUUAUGAAAAAGGAUUUACUAGUAAUAUAUAAAUAAUAUUUAUAAAUGAAUUAAAUUAAAAAUGUGC
Molecule: ribosomal RNA, 314 nt
Filed under: Epicharitus sp. SP85
Lineage: Eukaryota; Metazoa; Arthropoda; Arachnida; Araneae; Gnaphosidae
Description: partial 12S ribosomal RNA
Source: RNAcentral